ACCCACAUUACCGCCCACUUCUGCCAUGGCCACAGUUCCUGAAACUAUUUUCCUACAAAAAUAGCACUGUGCAGAGGGACCCCCUGGACUACCCUGAACAUCGCAGAGGAGAACCACUGGAGGAGACAGUGUCGCUGGUGCCCCGAAUACUGCAGCCCAUCGUUGGAAGGUAUUCAUUAUUUUACCAUGGAGUCUAUAUGAAAGGUUGACCGUCACCAUCUGGACCAAUACACCUGGUGUAUGCUGCAUUGCCAUUGUGUGAUUACCAUCAAGCUGAUAUUAACCCUUCGUUUCAACAGAAAAUGCUAAAACGAAAGCUUUGAGAAGUGCUGCAUGGUAAAUGUGCCCACCUGUCUUUACUACGAAUAAAAAGAUUGAACUUCAUGCUUUUCACCACCUUCACUUAUUAUGUAAGUCCUUGGAACUGAAUAGAUGUGUAUUGAAUCCAAUAUAUGACAAUGGCGAACUGCAUUAAUGAAAGAUUGUA
Long non-coding RNA from Pseudophryne corroboree (corroboree frog), 487 nucleotides. RefSeq lists it as uncharacterized. Lineage: Eukaryota; Metazoa; Chordata; Amphibia; Anura; Myobatrachidae. The record is from RefSeq and is a predicted model, not a curated record. The transcript has 3 exons.